AAAGGAGCAUUACAUGCAAUGGAGUUUACUGAUGGAGUUUGAUGAUGGGGGUAAGAGAUGUUUUAACAGAGUCAUGACAAUAUUGAUACAGAUUCCAAGAUUCAUUCUAAAGGGUCAUUCAAGAGCAAAGUUCGAGAAGUGGAACAUUUAAUUGGUUUUCAUGUUGAUUGUUCUAAGAGAAGCACAAUGCCCCAGAAUUAUUCCUUAUACAAGAAUCCCUUAGACCAGUGGUUCCCAAACCAGUCUUCGUGGUCCACCAACAAUCCAGGAUUUAUGUAUUUACCUUUUUUAUUCCAGUGGAAAUGCUGACAAAACCUGCACUGUUGCUGGGUCAUGAGGACUGGUUUGGGGACUCCAGAUGAGUCUUAGAACCAUUGGCUACGUGCAGACCUUGAGACAUUUGUUUGAAUGGUGGCUUGGAUUUCUUCUCCUUCAUGUUCCCUCUAAUAAUGGUUUAAACUAUGUUUCAUAAGUGACUUGUUUGUAGUCAUAUUCAAGAAAAUGAAGAAUUCAGGGUCUUGGUUGGCAAGUAGGAAAUUAUUUUACAUGAUAAUUUGUUCAAGUUUGUUCUACUAAUGGAGGCAAGGGAAGGGGGUGGGAAACAAAACCCUAAUUAUUGGAGUAAAGGUGCUUGAGUAAUAGGGACAUAUUUUCAUUUUUUUGGGGAUUGUGUGGUUUAGGAGUGUGAGUUAAUAUACAGUUAGAUGUCCAGGAGCUUCUGGCACUUUUGGCACUUAGGAACAUCCCUGGUCCAGGAGGGUCAGCAGAGUGGAAGAACAUGUGUAUCCAUAGAUGAGCUGGGCAUUGAUUGAUCCUCUUAUAUAUAGCCUAGGAGUAAUAACCCAUCCUCUCAUUUUACCAGGAAUGGAAGGAAGGGGUGCUGGGAUCUCAAACACAUUGUAUGUAUUUUAGAGAGCUGAGCAUUCAUGAUUUCCACUGCAGGGUCGGGUUUGUGCAUGUUUGGUGAGAUCUGAGACUAAGGAAACAUUUUUGUUGAGGUGGCUAGCAUAAACUCAAGGUAAAAGAAAUGUACAUGGGUUUUGUAACACUUUGCAUGAUCUUAACCUCAGCACAGAGCAUUUACAGUUUCCUGUCUUUUUAGUUUCGUAUUUAGUAAAACCUUCGAGGUCAAUGGAUGCCUUAGUGGGGAGCAAUAAUUAACACCACCGCCAUCACAAUAUUUUUUUAAUGACAUUUUACUUUAUUUAACACCCCAGGUAUGAUGGAUGAGAGGGGCUGGCUGGCCUACCAUGGGGCUGGAUGGCUGUGUGCCAUGUUCCAUCUAAGGAGUGAUCCAGCACUAAAAAGCAAUUAGCAAAGAAAUAUUUGAUUUGAUGUUUUCUUAUAAUAAUUUUUUUAUUGAACGUAUUCUCUGGGCAUCUAAACAUGUGUAAGGCAAUGGAUAGGCUAGUGCUAGAUAUGCUGAAGGUUAUUUUUUAUUAAUAUUCUUUUAUGUUAUUUAUUUUUCUAGCAAUAAUUAGUUUUGUUCUAUAUGGCAUUUUUUGCCAUAUUUUUCGCCAAGUUUUGUCAUUAUGGUCAAAUAGCACUAGCAUACAUAAUGACAUGUAGACAGCUGACAAUUAACCACAACGUCUAUAGAUAGUGAUGACUAACUGAGUCACUUUCAGGUCUGGGAUGGGAAUACUGAUGACGUUACAGAACUUCAAGAUUUGCAGUAUGGGCAGGAACUUCAAAUGUGAGUACGUUUUUAUUUUGUAGUUAAUAUUGCUUUAUUUUUUUAAAGGAACACCACAACACCAUUAACAUACAGCAAGCUUUUGUGAUUAUGGUGUUAAAAGUGGCCUGGCACCAACCCCACCUCAAGCAGUCGAAAUGUUUUAGAAGAGUUUAACCACUUACCUGCGGUCUGCAGGUGCCGAUCUCCAGCUCCACUACUUCAUGUAGAGACCCGGAAGCUCCUGCUCCAGUGAUUGCUCUGAGCCCUGCAGUACAGAGUUAUCUCAUUGGCUAAGAGCAUCCAGUGAUUGCUCUGAGCCCUGCAGUUAGGAGUUAUCUCAUUGGCUGAGAGCAUCCAGUGAUUGCUCUGAGCCCUGCAAUAUGGAGUUAUCUCAUUGGCUGAGAUCAUCCGGUGAUUGCUCUGAGCCCUGCAGUUAGGAGUUAUCUCACUGGCUGAGAGCAUCCAGUGAUUGCUCUGAGCCUUGCAGUAUGGAGUUAUCUCAUUGGCUGAGAUCAUCCGGUGAUUGCUCUCAGCCCUGCCCCACCAGAUCUAGCUGAGACACAGAGCUCCUGGCACUCUGUUAGGAGUAGUGGAAGCAGACAGGCCAGGUAAGAGGUCAACCCAUUCUAUGUACAUUACUGGUAUCAUUACUGGUAUCAUAAACACUAUAACGAGCUUUAGUGCUAAUGAUGCUUGGAGUGUUGCUUUAAUUCAAUAUCUAUAUAAUGCAGAAAAAAAUGAGUUAGCUCCAUCGGGGAUCAUCUCUUUAAUUAUUAAUGAUAACACUGCUUAGUGAAAUGAUUCCUGUAAAUGCUACGGAUGUGCAUUAUGAGCAGAUAUGUUAAUAAUCUGAGAAAAUCAGGCUGGAGAUUACCUACCCAUUAUGAUACUCCACUGUUUCUGAUGAAUAUUUGGGAGUCGGAGAGACUAACCUCAACUUUUUGUGUUGUGAAUAACCCUCUAGUAUUGUCCUGGGAUUCUGUAUAUAUAACACCUAUAUAGGUUAUUUUCAGUAAGGGCUCAUUUGUCUCCAAGCCACCAGCCAGCCCCUGCUUUCUGACUCAUUAAAACUACCCCCAUCAACUCAUCCAGAACCCCUGUCUAAUAUGAGGGCCUGUCAAAUGCAUUAACGAGAACACUGCCAAAUGGGCAAGCAACAUAUUGCUAAAACACGCAUUGCUUGUCGAACUGGCAGUGAAAAAAGUUAAUCUGAAUUGGUUUUGUUUAAAUCCAAGGAAAUAAUUCUAUACAUUUAUG
This is a non-coding RNA of Pelobates cultripes (western spadefoot toad), 2935 nucleotides long. Lineage: Eukaryota; Metazoa; Chordata; Amphibia; Anura; Pelobatidae. The record is from the annotation of a GenBank genome assembly.